Molecule: long non-coding RNA, 2883 nt
Organism: Venturia canescens
Lineage: Eukaryota; Metazoa; Arthropoda; Insecta; Hymenoptera; Ichneumonidae
Exons: 4
Source: RefSeq, a predicted model, not a curated record
CUCGUCUUCGGUAGAGCAAUGCAUCCAAUCAUUGUUUUCUCCGUGCCAAUUCGUCUCGACAAGGAUAUUACAUUAAGGAAAAAAUACUGGUAAGCUUCAUUUUGCGGACGCAACAUCCCUACCCAGUCCGGAAAUUUCACCAGACCCGAUGGAAAAAACGUUUCGAGAUCAGUCGUGAUUGACGUCACGAAAGAAUUUAAAACCGAUGGACGUUACGAAGAGAAGAAAAACGAUGAUUUCGAAUCGAAUUUUGGAAAGAGGCAAAGGACGUGGGGCAGUCGACAAUUUUCAAGAGCCUGUCGUUUUUGAAGGAGAUGGAAAGAAACCACGAGAGCUUGCUGUGCUUGGCUAGAUGGAUGAGAGACCCCACAAGACAUCGACCGCUAAGUCAACUGUAAAGGACUGUUACCCGAAGGAUUUCAAGCUUCGCUGAAUUCGUCUACGUACCUUUCUUCAUUUCUUUUUCUCUUACAUCUUUGGAUCUGUGAUUUCACAUAUCCUUGAGAGCCCUCGUAACAUUCUCAAGAGCUUAUUUCCCAGCAGUGCACUGAAAUCUCGACCUCAGCUUGUAAAUUUCCCAGAGACUGCGCUGCCGCCUUUAUUCUUUUUCGUAUGGUAUAAUUUCCGGAAAUUUGGGUUUUCCUUGAAUUAAACAUGAGAUCUUGUACCUUGUUUUCUUAGUGGAACGAAUAUUCGUCAAGAUGUGCAGCACGGAAUCAGGAUCGCACGCGUUGAUCCUGAACCUGGAAUAAAUGAACUUUAAAUUCCUUCACAAUCAUAAUAAAAAAGCCAAAUUUUUUAACAUCAUUAACUUUCUCACAAAGCUAUUAAAUUUACCACAAAAAACGUAGAAUUUAUGAACAUCACUCGAAUCUUUAUUACUGUCAUUCGGUUACAUAAUUUCGAUAUUUCUUCGACUCCAAUUGUGUUGGUACACAUGCACGAGGGGUGAACAAAUGAGAGGAUAGACCGAUGCUCGUUUGAAUCGCACAUAUGUACAGUCGGCUAUAGUCAUUAGAAGCAUAUUACAGGAAUUGCAGCGAAAAUUGCAAUUACGUGGCUCUGGGUUAGCGUUGUGCGAAACCAGAGAUAAAGCCCUCUUUCUACCCCCACCCUCCUGCCCCUUCGCAAAAUCCUCUUUACAACGAGUGCGCAGAGGUACUCGUAACUCGGCUGAUCUCUGAAACGUGAUUAGGAAUUAAUUAACCCUGUGGCACCCCCUUCGGAAGAAAGCCCUUUCCCCUCGUGCCCUUUUCACUCGAUUAAUGAGGAGAUGCGAUCAUUCAACAUAGUUUAAUCUGUGUCCCUACGUUUCGUCCCUCCCCCCUCUCGUUCUGUCUCUCCUAGUCACUCACACUUUCUCUCUCGUCAUUGGUGAAGCCAUGGGACCAAGAAUUUGCUCGGCAAUCCGUUGUAAUUCAUCAUCCCAUAUACACAUGGUUCAUGUCUAUGAGUGUUGUGUGUACGUGAGCAUUACAUAUUUGUCUUCCUAAUACUAUUUGCCUCUGGAAUUAGCCUGUCUAUCAGCCGCUGUUUACAGGGUUGAUUGUACUGAUAAUUCUGUUAAGUACAUGUAGUCUGAAAUCGAGCACGAUUUGUAUUAGAAUCUGAUUUGUAUUUUUGUAGAUUGAAGGUUUUCCAAUAAUUUAUCAAUUAAUUUUGUAGAUUUGUUUAUUCGAAGAAGUGGAGACGGUUGUUCGGAGACUGAUUACGAUUACACACACACUCAAUUUCUUCUCAUUUUCAUCUCGCUGUACGAAGGUCACUUCAGCUAAUGCUGACUUUGACAAGAGCAGAGUGAUUACGACAGUGGUGGCUUUGAUCUUAAGAUUCCAAAGUACAAGAUUCCAAAGCAGAGAUUCACUUUUUUAUUAUGUUUUUGUCUUUAUCUACUUUAAGGACGCGAACCUCGAAUAUGUUUCAUUGAUUUCCCUUGAAAAAAUCUCUUCGUCAUUAUUGUUGCAGCAAUUCUCUCCCGCUUUGAUCCACAUUCCGUGCGAGCCUGAAUCGAAGAGACGCGAGAGCCCUAUUUCUAUGAUGCACAACAUUCAUCCACCCGCGCGAGUACCCAAUUAUCGGUUACGAAAAGUUUCAAGUCAUUUGAGAACGAAACGAUGUCAGGAGGGGAGUGGGAUACUGGAUGAGAUCACGUGCAAUCUAUAAAUCAAUGUAUACCUUCCACUUUAUAAUAUUCCAUACACGAACUUCCAUAAUAUACUCGUUAAACUUUUCGCUCGAGCGGGAAAAACGUCAGGCCAAGUUUAGCCCUGGAAACUUAUGAGCCCUCGUCCAGCCAGGAUCUUCAAUAAGUCUGAAAAAUGUGGCUCAAGCCUCUUAUGGAAAAAUUAAAUUACUGAAGAGUCGAAAAGUACAUUAAAUACAGCUUCAACGACGCUACCAACGUCUCCGUUCUUCACUCUUUCCAAAAUUUCAAUCCACUGGAGUGAAAUAUCUCAAAUUAUUAAGAAAAUAGUAUGCAACGAUUAUGGGAUAGCAAUGAAUUCGAAAAAUUCGUCGUACUCGAUGCAUUGUAUCAGCAGUAUUAUUAUUGAAAUAAAAAAUCGAUUUUUUUUCGUUUUUUUUUCCUUCCAAGGUUAUUUAGAAAUUCAAUUAGUAUUGAUUAUUAUGGCGAGUGUCAUGCGUGCGAAGCCGUUAAAUAUAUCUCUCUGUUAAUGAUACGUUAUCACUCGAACCGCGAUAGUUAUUUACUCAAGGUUGCAGCGUUAUCUUCGAAAUAGCACUCGGUCAUACUUGGUCUGAACGCUGUAUGCACUGCAAGGUAGCGGGGGGAACUCUUAGGGAAAAGUAAUAAUUUGGCAAUAUGUAAGAUAAUAGCCGACACAAAGUAUGAGAUUAAUAAAAAUAUUCACAAUUUGAUCACAA